AAACCAAAGUGUGCAGUCGCCGCUUAUUUUUUAGGAUAUGCGGAGGAAAGUCCGAACAUCGCAGGACAGGGUGCCUGUCGAGAGCUUUUGCUCAAGACGGGGAGCAGCAGUGCAAGCUUCUGCUACAGAAAGUGCAACAGAAAGUAUACCGCCCCGGGUGUUUCCGGAGUAAGGGUGAAAAGGGGGUGUAAGAGACCACCAGACAUGUCAGUAAUGACAUGUGCUAUGAAAACCUCCCCGAUGCAAGGCUGAAUAGGGAAACUUUUUCGAAAGGAAAAAGAAUGGUCCGUUCAAUUCUGAAAGGACACCUUUUUCAGGUAUCGUAAACGGCUUGAGUACUCCAGGCAAUGUGUGGAAAAACCGCCUGAGAAAGUAUUCUGGACGCGGAGGAAGCUGAAAAAGGUGUCCUCAAGAGAGUUUCCGGGUGAGCCGCAUUAGAUAAAUGACUGCAGCUUUGCCGCAAGGCAGAGAACAGAAUUCGGCUUACAGCUUUGGUUUCAGU
This 502-nucleotide RNase P RNA is filed under the name Prosthecochloris sp. SCSIO W1101. Its description in RNAcentral is "RNase P RNA component class A". It matches the Rfam family "Bacterial RNase P class A". Rfam says of the family: Ribonuclease P (RNase P) is a ubiquitous endoribonuclease, found in archaea, bacteria and eukarya as well as chloroplasts and mitochondria. Its best characterised activity is the generation of mature 5'-ends of tRNAs by cleaving the 5'-leader elements of precursor-tRNAs. The record is from RNAcentral. Lineage: Bacteria; Pseudomonadati; Chlorobiota; Chlorobiia; Chlorobiales; Chlorobiaceae.